UACAGAGGGGGCAAGCGUUGUUCGGAAUUACUGGGCGUAAAGGGCGCGUAGGCGGCCUGUUAAGUCGAACGUGAAAUCCCCGGGCUCAACCCGGGAACUGCGUCCGAGACUGAUAGGCUCGAAUCCGGGAGAGGGAUGUGGAAUUCCAGGUGUAGCGGUGAAAUGCGUAGAUAUCUGGAGGAACACCGGUGGCGAAGGCGACAUCCUGGACCGGCAUUGACGCUGAGGCGCGAAAGCUAGGGGAGCAAACGGG
RNAcentral lists this ribosomal RNA (253 nucleotides) under uncultured bacterium. Its description in RNAcentral is "partial 16S ribosomal RNA". It matches the Rfam family "Bacterial small subunit ribosomal RNA", at positions 524 to 776 of the family's 1533-position model. The record is from RNAcentral.